UUGGUACCAGCUGAGCAUCAUU
This 22-nucleotide microRNA is filed under the name Oreochromis niloticus (Nile tilapia). Its description in RNAcentral is "oni-miR-10886". Lineage: Eukaryota; Metazoa; Chordata; Actinopteri; Cichliformes; Cichlidae. The record is from miRBase by way of RNAcentral.